AAAAUAUAAUACUAAAUAUCUCGUAUAUCUCUGCGAUAUGGGCAGAAGUUUCUACGGUUUACCUUAAAUGGACUGCUACGAGUGAUUCUUUUUCGCGA
Regulatory RNA element from Fusobacterium sp., 98 nucleotides. It matches the Rfam family "Purine riboswitch aptamer". Rfam says of the family: Riboswitches are metabolite binding domains within certain messenger RNAs that serve as precision sensors for their corresponding targets. Allosteric rearrangement of mRNA structure is mediated by ligand binding, and this results in modulation of gene expression. The record is from Rfam. Lineage: Bacteria; Fusobacteriati; Fusobacteriota; Fusobacteriia; Fusobacteriales; Fusobacteriaceae.